GCCAGUGUAGCACAAUAGUAGUGCAUCUCACCUGUAAUGAGAAGGUUGGGGGUGCAAGUCCCUCCGCUGGCU
Molecule: transfer RNA, 72 nt
Filed under: Prevotella sp.
Lineage: Bacteria; Pseudomonadati; Bacteroidota; Bacteroidia; Bacteroidales; Prevotellaceae
Description: tRNA-Thr
Rfam family: tRNA
About the family: Transfer RNA (tRNA) molecules are approximately 80 nucleotides in length. Their secondary structure includes four short double-helical elements and three loops (D, anti-codon, and T loops).
Source: RNAcentral